Molecule: ribosomal RNA, 566 nt
Filed under: Desulfomicrobium sp. enrichment culture clone CIBANICRA-SRB16
Lineage: Bacteria; Pseudomonadati; Thermodesulfobacteriota; Desulfovibrionia; Desulfovibrionales; Desulfomicrobiaceae
Description: bacterial SSU rRNA
Rfam family: Bacterial small subunit ribosomal RNA
Source: RNAcentral
CAACGAUGAGUAGCCGGUCUGAGAGGAUGAUCGGCCACACUGGAACUGAUACACGGUCCAGACUCCUACGGGAGGCAGCAGUGGGGAAUAUUGCGCAAUGGGCGAAAGCCUGACGCAGCAACGUCGUGUGAGGGAUGAAGGCUUUCGGGUCGUAAACCUCUGUCAUAAGGGAAGAACAGGAAUUGGUCUAAUAGGCCUUCGUUUUGACGGUACCUUCAGAGGAAGCACCGGCUAACUCCGUGCCAGCAGCCGCUGUAAUACGGAGGGGGCAAGCGUUAUUCGGAAUUACUGGGCGUAAAGAGCACGUAGGCGGCCUUGUAAGUCAGGGGUGAAAUCCCACGGCUCAACCGUGGAACUGCCUUUGAAACUGCAGGGCUUGAAUCCUGGAGAGGGUGGCGGAAUUCCUGGUGUAGAAGUGAAAUCCGUAGAUAUCAGGAGGAACACCUGUGGCGAACGCAGCCACCUGGACAGGUAUUGACACUGAGGUGCGAAAGUGUGGGGAGCAAACAGGAUUAGAUACCCUGGUAGUCCACACCGUAAACGAUGGAUACUAGAUGUCGGACAAA